Molecule: small RNA, 163 nt
Filed under: Chelonoidis abingdonii (Abingdon island giant tortoise)
Lineage: Eukaryota; Metazoa; Chordata; Testudines; Testudinidae
Description: TUC338 (ENSCABG00000018431.1)
Source: RNAcentral
UUAAAGGAAUUAGAUUCUUAGCCACAGAGUUAAAACAGGCUCAGCUGCAAUGCAAGUUUUCCCACACACUGCCCCACCAACAUGCCUCAUCCCUGACCUGGAGAGACCACCUCUAAGGUGAGAGAGCAGUUCAGUGUCCAAUCCCAUUUAAUUCUCGGUCUAU